RNAcentral lists this ribosomal RNA (600 nucleotides) under Saccharomonospora azurea. RNAcentral describes it as "bacterial SSU rRNA". It matches the Rfam family "Bacterial small subunit ribosomal RNA", at positions 150 to 763 of the family's 1533-position model. Lineage: Bacteria; Bacillati; Actinomycetota; Actinomycetes; Pseudonocardiales; Pseudonocardiaceae. The record is from RNAcentral.
UGGGAAACUGGGUCUAAUACCGGAUAGGACACACUGCCGCAUGGUGGUGUGUGGAAAGCUCCGGCGGUACAGGUUGAGCCCGCGGCCUAUCAGCUUGUUGGUGGGGUGAUGGCCUACCAAGGCGACGACGGGUAGCCGGCCUGAGAGGGUGACCGGCCACACUGGGACUGAGACACGGCCCAGACUCCUACGGGAGGCAGCAGUGGGGAAUAUUGCACAAUGGGCGCAAGCCUGAUGCAGCGACGCCGCGUGGGGGAUGACGGCCUUCGGGUUGUAAACCCCUUUCGCCAGGGACGAAGCGUAAGUGACGGUACCUGGAGAAGAAGCACCGGCCAACUACGUGCCAGCAGCCGCGGUAAUACGUAGGGUGCAAGCGUUGUCCGGAAUUAUUGGGCGUAAAGAGCUCGUAGGCGGUGUGUCACGUCUGCCGUGAAAACCUGCGGCUUAACCGUGGGCGUGCGGUGGAUACGGGCAUCACUUGAGUUCGGUAGGGGAGACUGGAAUUCCUGGUGUAGCGGUGGAAUGCGCAGAUAUCAGGAGGAACACCGGUGGCGAAGGCGGGUCUCUGGGCCGAUACUGACGCUGAGGAGCGAAAGCGUG